UAAUGAAAACACUCGGGUCACCUAACAAAGGGCAAAAGGUUUCUGGUCCAGUUUUGAGGGUGGAGACGAGUGAACACAAGGAUGUGAUAUACAUCUGCAUCUACUGUAAUUUAGUGAGCCGGAGGACCAAGAGCAUCUCAGAGAAAGAGCUGUUCUUAAACGUCUCAUUUUCAGAAAUAACAAUAAUUCCUGCUGUGCUCAUUGUUUUUUUCUUGAUUGCGAUUUGGAUCUACUGCUGUUGGAAAAGGAAAACUGAAGUACCGAGAAGAAGCUACAGAGCUGUGCCAUUCUCAGUAGGUCUGAAUGUGAAAGGACAUUGUUGCCAUUGUAACAUAAUAAUAGGAGCUAAAUGGCUUUGUGGGAAGGAAUGGAAUGUUCUGUAUAAAGUGUAUCGUUUCUGACAUAGAGAAACUAUAACAAACUGCCUGGGUUGUUUUUUCCAGCGUUUUUUGUGUUGUAACAGGUUAGAAAUGCGGUUUGAAAUAAUUGCACAAGAUAGUCUGUUACCUGUAUUUCAGUUUCUUUUUGAUCUUUUAUUUUGA
This is a long non-coding RNA of Clupea harengus (Atlantic herring), 542 nucleotides long. RefSeq lists it as uncharacterized. Lineage: Eukaryota; Metazoa; Chordata; Actinopteri; Clupeiformes; Clupeidae. The record is from RefSeq and is a predicted model, not a curated record. The transcript has 3 exons.